AUAUAACUAAGCGGAGGAAAAGAAACUAACAAGGAUUCCCUCAGUAACGGCGAGUGAAGCGGGAAGAGCUCAGACUGAAAACCUUCGGGGAUGUAGUCUGGAGAUGGGACAUCGAAUCGCAGGAAGUCGAUAAAGUGGUCUGGAAUGACACGCCGUGGAGGGUGACAGCCCCGUUCGUAUCGAUGAAAUGUGAGAGUAGAUGCCUGUCAAUGAGUCGAGUUGUUUGGGAAUGCAGCUCAAAAUGGGUGGUGAACUCCAUCUAAAGCUAAAUAUUGGCGAGAGACCGAUAGCGCACAAGUA
RNAcentral lists this ribosomal RNA (300 nucleotides) under uncultured Poterioochromonas. RNAcentral's name for it is "partial large subunit ribosomal RNA". It matches the Rfam family "Eukaryotic large subunit ribosomal RNA", at positions 40 to 350 of the family's 3401-position model. Lineage: Eukaryota; Synurophyceae; Ochromonadales; Ochromonadaceae. The record is from RNAcentral.